Molecule: unclassified non-coding RNA, 497 nt
Filed under: uncultured Glomus
Lineage: Eukaryota; Fungi; Glomeromycota; Glomeromycetes; Glomerales; Glomeraceae
Description: SSU rRNA
Rfam family: Eukaryotic small subunit ribosomal RNA
Source: RNAcentral
CCAAUAGCGUAUAUUAAAGUUGUUGCAGUUAAAAAGCUCGUAGUUGAAUUUCGGGGUUAGUAAGUUGGUUGUGCCACUGGUAUGUACUGGCUUUACUGAUUCCUCCUUCUUGUAGAACCGUAAUGCCAUUAAGUUGGUGUUGCGGGGAAACAGGACUGUUACUUUGAAAAAAUUAGAGUGUUUAAAGCAAGCUAACGCUUGAAUACAUUAGCAUGGAAUAAUGAAAUAGGACGUUCGAUCCUAUUUUGUUGGUUUCUAGGAUUGACGUAAUGAUUAAUAGGGAUAGUUGGGGGCAUUAGUAUUCAAUUGUCAGAGGUGAAAUUCUUGGAUUUAUUGAAGACUAACUACUGCGAAAGCAUUUGCCAAGGAUGUUUUCAUUAAUCAAGAACGAAAGUUAGGGGAUCGAAGACGAUCAGAUACCGUCGUAGUCUUAACCAUAAACGAUGCCAACCAGCGAUUAGCCUGAGUUCCCUAAAUGACUCGGCUAGCAGCUUCCG